RNAcentral lists this ribosomal RNA (302 nucleotides) under Chrysochromulina rotalis. RNAcentral describes it as "partial Eukaryotic large subunit ribosomal RNA". It matches the Rfam family "Eukaryotic large subunit ribosomal RNA", at positions 630 to 946 of the family's 3401-position model. The record is from RNAcentral. Lineage: Eukaryota; Haptophyta; Prymnesiales; Chrysochromulinaceae.
CGUAACGGGCACCACCGACCCGUCUUGAAACACGGACCAAGGAGUCUAACAUAUGUGCGAGUUCACGGGUGUUAAACCUGAAUGCGCAAUGAAAGUGACUGCUGGGAUUUUUGCACCAGCAACCGACCAAUCAAUUGUGAGAGGUUUGAGUAUGAGCAUAUCUGUUAGGACCCGAAAGAUGGUGAACUAUGCCUGAGAAGGGUGAAGUCAGGGGAAACCCUGAUGGAGGCUCGUAGCGGUACUGACGUGCAAAUCGUUCGUCAAACUUGGGUAUAGGGGCGAAAGACUAAUCGAACCAUCUA